RNAcentral lists this ribosomal RNA (305 nucleotides) under uncultured bacterium. RNAcentral describes it as "bacterial SSU rRNA". It matches the Rfam family "Bacterial small subunit ribosomal RNA", at positions 333 to 636 of the family's 1533-position model. The record is from RNAcentral.
UCUCCCCUACGGGGGGCAGCAGUGAGGAAUAUUGGUCAAUGGGCGCGAGCCUGAACCAGCCAAGUCGCGUGAGGGAAGACGGUCCUAUGGAUUGUAAACCUCUUUUGUCGGGGAGCAAAGGACGCCACGUGUGGCGUUCCGAGAGUACCCGAAGAAAAAGCAUCGGCUAACUCCGUGCCAGCAGCCGCGGUAAUACGGAGGAUGCGAGCGUUAUCCGGAUUUAUUGGGUUUAAAGGGUGCGCAGGCGGAAGAUCAAGUCAGCGGUAAAAUUGAGAGGCUCAACCUCUUCGAGCCAUUGAAACUGG